This 465-nucleotide ribosomal RNA is filed under the name uncultured bacterium. RNAcentral describes it as "partial 16S ribosomal RNA". It matches the Rfam family "Bacterial small subunit ribosomal RNA", at positions 28 to 507 of the family's 1533-position model. The record is from RNAcentral.
GAUGAACGCUGGCGGCGUGCUUAACACAUGCAAGUCGAACGGAAAGGCUCCUGCUUGCAGGGGUACUCGAGUGGCGAACGGGUGAGUAACACGUGGGUGAUCUGCCCUGCACUUCGGGAUAAGCCUUGGAAACUGGGUCUAAUACCGGAUAGGACGAUGGUUUGGAUGCCAUUGUGGACAGUUUUUCGGUGUGGGAUGAGCUCGCGGCCUAUCAGCUUGUUGGUGGGGUAAUGGCUUACCAAGGCGUCGACGGGUAGCCGGCCUGAGAGGGUGUACGGACAAAUUGGGACUGAGAUACGGCCCAGACGACAACGGGAGGCAGCAGUGGGGAAUAUUGAACAAUGGGGGCAAGCCUGAUGAAGCGAAGCCGCGUGGGGGAUGACGGCCUUCGGGUUGUAAACUCCUUUCGCUAGGGACGAAGCGAAAGUGACGGUACCUGGAGAAGAAGCACCGGCUAACUACGUG